AACCUGCAGAAGGAUCAUUAGUGAAAGCAUGGGUCAGCCAUACGGAUGCGCAAGCGUCUCUGGCGACCUUUUUUUCCAUUUAUCCAAACCCGUGUGCACUGUGUAGCGUGUCUUUUUGGAUGCGCUACGAAAUUUCUACACUCGUAUGUUGUAUGUACGUGAACUUGUUGGACCGUUACUGGCCAACCAACUUUACACAACUUUCGACAACGGAUCUCUUGGUUCUCCCAUCGAUGAAGAACGCAGCGAAACGCGAUAGGUAAUGUGAAUUGCAGAAUUCCGUGAAUCAUCGAAUCUUUGAACGCACCUUGCGCUCCAUGGUAUUCCGUGGAGCAUGCCUGUUUGAGUGCCGUGAAUUCUCUCCCCCCUUUGGGUUGCGAAAGCAGUCCUAGGCGGCGGAGGUUGGAUGGGCGAUGCCUUGCGAGGCUGGCCCGAAAAGCAUUAGCGCCUCGCUAGAGCCUCUAAGGGAGAGGCCCAAGUGACUUGGCCUUGGUCGGCUAUGCCAAACCAAGACGGAGUGCAAGCGCAGCAUGAUACGUCAUUUGCUGUGUGCGCCGCCGGCUUGGGGACGACCCAAGACAAGCGCUUGGAGCGAAGAGUGCGCUUCGAAGUAGCGUGGAGACGAUUGUCUUGGAACGCAUUCCCUUUUUCUUCUGGUCUCAAAUCAGGUAGGAUCACCCGCCGAACUUAAG
Molecule: ribosomal RNA, 692 nt
Filed under: Malassezia yamatoensis
Lineage: Eukaryota; Fungi; Basidiomycota; Malasseziomycetes; Malasseziales; Malasseziaceae
Description: eukaryotic LSU rRNA
Rfam family: 5.8S ribosomal RNA (bases 199-352)
Source: RNAcentral